Panthera pardus (leopard) is the source of this 106-nucleotide ribosomal RNA. NCBI's taxonomy places the organism in Eukaryota, Metazoa, Chordata, Mammalia, Carnivora, Felidae. The record is from Ensembl.
GUCUACGGCCAUACCACCCUGAACGCACCCGAUUUCGUCUGAUCUCGGAAGCUAAGCAGGGUCAGGCCUGGUUAGUACUUGGAUAGAAGGAAUGACUGGAGAGAGA